AUGGGAACGCGAAGAACCUUACCUACUCUUGACAUCCAGAGAACUUAGCAGAGAUGCUUUGGUGCCUUCGGGAACUCUGAGACAGGUGCUGCAUGGCUGUCGUCAGCUCGUGUUGUGAAAUGUUGGGUUAAGUCCCGCAACGAGCGCAACCCUUAUCCUUUGUUGCCAGCGGUUAGGCCGGGAACUCAAAGGAGACUGCCAGUGAUAAACUGGAGGAAGGUGGGGAUGACGUCAAGUCAUCAUGGCCCUUACGAGUAGGGCUACACACGUGCUACAAUGGCGCAUACAAAGAGAAGCGACCUCGCGAGAGCAAGCGGACCUCAUAAAGUGCGUCGUAGUCCGGAUUGGAGUCUGCAACUCGACUCCAUGAAGUCGAAAUCGCUAGUAAUCGUAGAUCAGAAUGCUACGGUGAAUACGUUCCCGGGUCUUGUACACACCG
This 439-nucleotide ribosomal RNA is filed under the name uncultured bacterium. RNAcentral's name for it is "bacterial SSU rRNA". It matches the Rfam family "Bacterial small subunit ribosomal RNA", at positions 954 to 1392 of the family's 1533-position model. The record is from RNAcentral.